RNAcentral lists this long non-coding RNA (1411 nucleotides) under Fukomys damarensis (Damara mole-rat). RNAcentral describes it as "lncRNA (ENSFDAG00000025837.1)". The record is from RNAcentral. Lineage: Eukaryota; Metazoa; Chordata; Mammalia; Rodentia; Bathyergidae.
CUGGGAGAAGGGGCUGGGUGUUCAUCACCUGAGCCAAGCACCUUGGCAGGUGGCGGGAUGGAGGGGACACUCUGAGGGUUCCCACACCUCUGCUUUCUUUCUUUAAAUUGCUUUUGUUUUCAUUUUUUGAGACAAGGUCUCGUUAUGUUUUCCAGGCUGGACUCGAACUCACUAUGUAGCCUACCCUGGACUUGAACUUGGGGCGAUCCUGCCUCAGCCUCCUGAGCGCUGGAAUGAUAGGUAUGUGCUGCCAUGUCUGGCUUUUUGCAGGAAUUCUUUGAGGACCAGAAUAAAAGGUUUCACCUGCUCUGAGAUGAGUUGUACUUGCUUUUUUCCAGGCACCCGUGUGAGACGGACUCUGAAGUUGCUGGGGCCCCUGUGUGACAUGAACCCUGACUUCAGGUCCCUGGGUCCUCUGGCUUUGUCUCAGUCCUGCCACGGAUGAGCACAGGGCCCGAAGGUGCCAGGCCAAGGCUCUGGCAUGGAGCGGCCCCCAGCCCACGGCUCUGGAGUUCUAAAUUCAGAGAGAAGAAGGCUAAUGAAUGAGGUCCAAAACCCAGAGGGCAGCGCAGGCAAAACAAUACAUCUAACAACAUAAACAUUCAAAUUCAAAUGUCUUUGUAGGGAAGAAGAAAAGUAUCAUUUCAGUAAAGGAUGACUUUUCUGUCCAUAUUAGAUCUCCUGCAAAUAAGUAAAAAAACAGGAAGGGAGCAAAGAGUUUCCAGAAAAGGUUAUACAAAUCAUCUCUUGCUGUCCGACUUUACUCAUAUUAAGAGAAAAGUAAAUUUACAACUAUUCUGAGAUACUGCUUUGUACUUAUGAGACGCACGAAUCAGACCAUUUGGUAACUGUUGAUGAGGUGCGGGAAAGCACACCCACAUGGUGUGUGGACCACAAAUUCACACAACCUCUACAGACAACUAUGUAGCAAUAUAUAUCAAAAUACUGUCAGGCACGGUGGUGCACACCUGUAGUCCCAGCAUUCAGGAGGCUGAGGCAGGAGGAUCGCUGUGAAUUCAAGGCCAGACUGAACUACAUAGCGAGACCUUGUCUAUAAGUAAAUAAAUACACAAAUACACGUAUUCUUUUACUAACUCCAUUUUAGGAAUUUAUCCCAUAUAUACUGAAAUGAGGAAAAAAGCACAGACACAUAGAUGCCCUCCUUCUGUAUUGUUUUGGGUUUUUUAGUGUUGGGGAUUGGACAUGGGGCCUCGAGAAUAAUGCUCUACCGCUGAGCUACACUUCUAUUCUGUAAAGAUCAUUUAUCCAUAAAGGACUGAUUAAACAGCUGGGUGUAUUUGUAUUUUUUAUGCAAGGGUAUUUUAAAUGAUAUGAUGCUGGGCAAAAAAUAGAGCCAUCAAUACAUGAAACAAAAGGAAGCAUUUGGAAACAGACAUAAUGAACAUAAGGA